GGCCCCACCCCACCUGCAGCAGGCUGGUUUCAGGCUAAAUGAACUCUUCAGAGAAGCUGGUACUGAAAUGGAGACACUUUGGCAGUGAACCAGUUCGUCAUGGCUGUAAGAUUGUUGAAAAAUUCAAUACCUGCACAUUCACAAUUGAGAAUGUUUUAAAAACAAUCAAGCUAAACUCAUGUCAAGGUAAUCACAAGCCCCCAAUAACCAACGAGAGGGUUGCUGUCUGGAGGCUGCUGGGGCACCUCUUUAUUGUCCAGUGAGCUUCAGAGAUGCCCCAAAACAGGACUGGGCUAAACAGAAAAAGCCAGGUGAAUAUGUCCCAGGCAGCAGGAUUAUAUUCCAAACCAGAUAGGCAUAAUUUUAAAGUUAUUUUGAGGCAAGAUUUAAAGUCAUCUUGAACAAAUCUAAAGUUGAAAACCCAAACAUUUGAUUUAUAAACAUAACAACCUAGAAGAAGAACAAAAAAAGUCCAGGACCACUCCCCUCUCUCCCCAUCAUGUGCCAGAAUGUUCAAUGUGACCACUAGCUGGUUUGGGAGUCUUGGGAUGAAGUUUCCCCAAGUAGGCUGUGUGGGGUUCAGUCUGCAGCCAAAAUCUUUUGCCACAAGAAACAGAAGAUAACUGUGUCCAUAACUCGUCCCCCGCAAACCCAAGUCUCCCACAGCAACUAUCUCCAGGGUCUUGUGGGUCUUACCUAGAAAAGGUACCCAAUGGGAGGUCAAAAUCACCCAAAGCAAAUAGAAGAGAUGGGCCCAGCCGUGCGUUGUUCCUGGGGUGCAGGAUGGAGACAUUUCUGAGCCACUGAGGCAUGAAAAGCCAGACAGGCCAAGCAAACAUCAAUACCGCCAGCAUGCUAGAAGCUAAUGGACCGCAGAGAGCGCCUCCAACAGGCCCCGACCACAUUCAUAUGAAGCUGCAGGAGCCCUCCCAGCUCUUCCUGCCCUUGAACUGCUAAAGCAUGAAACCCUCACACAAUCAAACAGCACGGCCCAUCCUGCAAAGUGGGAUGAUCAGAGGCUUGGUACACAGGACCCACUGCUGGGACCAAGUCCCCGGGGAUUUCAGUUCUGUGACAUUUGCAAUUUAAAGUCGGCUUGACACUCAGCAGCUGCUGUGGGUGUUUUUUUUUCCCCUUCAUAUUUUACAGAAAGGAAGAAUGCCAGCUUCCAAUGCCAGUUCUGAGAACAGAACAGAUCCUUUGGGCGAAGGAGAAAACAAGUGUUCGUGUCAGCCUUCAGGAAGAACUUUCUCCAAAGCCCAGGAGCUCUGGAACAGCGGUCAGCUCCAGGGGGACCUGCUUGUGAAGGGAGGUGUGAUGGCAGGCCCAGAAGAGGAAAGAAGCACUCUUGCGAUAGCCCAUACUUGACCUACAAGGAGGCUCCCAAGAAGAUCCCCAGAGUGUCCUGGUCUCCAGCAUAUAUCACCUGUGAAAUAAACUUUGUUUUGAUUUAAAGAAAUGUUUUAAUACCUGCUAGUAGAUAACGUUCAUAUCAACCACAGCUUUAGGAGUUGGGUGGUUUCAGGGAAAGUGUAAGGAACAUCU
Molecule: long non-coding RNA, 1545 nt
Organism: Bubalus bubalis (water buffalo)
Lineage: Eukaryota; Metazoa; Chordata; Mammalia; Artiodactyla; Bovidae
Exons: 4
Source: RefSeq, a predicted model, not a curated record